Molecule: ribosomal RNA, 112 nt
Filed under: Gopherus agassizii (Agassiz's desert tortoise)
Lineage: Eukaryota; Metazoa; Chordata; Testudines; Testudinidae
Source: RNAcentral
UGAGGCAGACAUACUAUCCUGAUAGUGUCUGAUCUUGCAAGCAGUGCAGGAUUGGGCUGUUUCACUACUUAGAUGGGAGACUUUCAAGAAAGUCAAAGUGUUACUGCUAUUU